UACGGAGGGGGCUAGCGUUGUUCGGAAUUACUGGGCGUAAAGCGCGCGUAGGCGGACCUGCAAGUCGGGGGUGAAAGCCCGAGGCUCAACCUCGGAACUGCCUUCGAUACUGCGGGUCUCGAGUCCGGGAGAGGUGAGUGGAAUUCCUAGUGUAGAGGUGAAAUUCGUAGAUAUUAGGAAGAACACCAGUGGCGAAGGCGGCUCACUGGCCCGGUACUGACGCUGAGGAGCGAAAGCUAGGGGAGCAAACGGG
This 253-nucleotide ribosomal RNA is filed under the name uncultured bacterium. RNAcentral's name for it is "partial 16S ribosomal RNA". It matches the Rfam family "Bacterial small subunit ribosomal RNA", at positions 524 to 776 of the family's 1533-position model. The record is from RNAcentral.